UACAGGGGGUGCAAACGUUGCUCGGAAUUAUUGGGCGUAAAGCGCGCGUAGGCGGCUACCUAAGUCGGAUGUGAAAGCCCCUGGCUUAACUGGGGAAGUGCACCCGAAACUGGGUAGCUAGAGUGCAAAAGAGGGUCGCGGAAUUCCCGGUGUAGAGGUGAAAUUCGUAGAUAUGUGGAGGAACACCGAUGGCGAAGGCAGCCCCCUGGGUUAACACUGACGCUCAUGCACGAAAGCGUGGGGAGCAAACAGG
This 253-nucleotide ribosomal RNA is filed under the name uncultured bacterium. RNAcentral's name for it is "partial 16S ribosomal RNA". It matches the Rfam family "Bacterial small subunit ribosomal RNA", at positions 524 to 776 of the family's 1533-position model. The record is from RNAcentral.